UUCCAUGUAGAUAAGCAGCAUUUGUUGUACCCUGUGAAUGGGGCUAUUUAUUGAAAUGAACCUUAAAGGUGUAAUGAAGAUAUUUAUAGCCAUUAUACCCAAGCUUAAGUUAUUGCUGGCAUCCGCUUUCACUUGUGAGAAAUGCAUCACUUUCUGGGUGCUGAAUAAAGUCAGUAUGUUCUAGUAUAUUUUUAGUAUUUUCUCUAGUACUUUUGAUGUGUAAUGUUUUAGUAUAGUAUUCUACAAUAGAUUAUGUAGCCAGUAUAUUCUAGUACAUGUAUAUUCUUGUGUAUCAUUGGUGGUUUGGUCUCUUUAUUGACUUGUUCCCUUUUUCAGGUUUAGAUUGAUGACUCUCAUUAUCAUUGUUGUCCAUUGGCCUAAUGGGUACUGCUAUCGCAGUGACUGUAUUGGACUGACCAACUUGUCUUUAAUUAUUCUGGAAGAGAGACAAUUAAGUCAUUUUAGGGAUGGCAAGCCAAGAGCAUGUGGCAUAAAAGGGUCAAGAAACAAUUAACUUUGUAUAAAGAAACAGGAUGAUACAAAGAGCUAUCACGAAAGUCCCAGCUGUUGUACAUAUCCAGAAAAAUUUGGAGGGAUCCAUGAAUACUGCUGGUACUGCACUUACAUGUAUGCUCAAAUGUUUGCCAGGUCAGCUUAUAC
Molecule: long non-coding RNA, 660 nt
Organism: Amphimedon queenslandica
Lineage: Eukaryota; Metazoa; Porifera; Demospongiae; Haplosclerida; Niphatidae
Exons: 3
Source: RefSeq, a predicted model, not a curated record